GGUAAGAUGGCUGAACGUCAAGCGGUGGGUUGUAGCCCCAUAUACAGAGGUUAGACUCCUCUUUUUACCA
Molecule: transfer RNA, 70 nt
Filed under: Lagocephalus sceleratus (silver-cheeked toadfish)
Lineage: Eukaryota; Metazoa; Chordata; Actinopteri; Tetraodontiformes; Tetraodontidae
Description: tRNA-Tyr
Rfam family: tRNA
About the family: Transfer RNA (tRNA) molecules are approximately 80 nucleotides in length. Their secondary structure includes four short double-helical elements and three loops (D, anti-codon, and T loops). Further hydrogen bonds mediate the characteristic L-shaped molecular structure. tRNAs have two regions of fundamental functional importance: the anti-codon, which is responsible for specific mRNA codon recognition, and the 3' end, to which the tRNAs corresponding amino acid is attached (by aminoacyl-tRNA synthetases). tRNAs cope with the degeneracy of the genetic code in two manners: having more than one tRNA (with a specific anti-codon) for a particular amino acid; and 'wobble' base-pairing, i.e. permitting non-standard base-pairing at the 3rd anti-codon position.
Source: RNAcentral